ACGAUGGACAUUGCAAAGAGUGGCGAACGGGUGAGUAACACGUGGGAAACCUACCUCUUAGCAGGGGAUAACAUUUGGAAACAGAUGCUAAUACCGUAUAACAAUGACAACCGCAUGGUUGUUAUUUAAAAGAUGGUUCUGCUAUCACUAAGAGAUGGUCCCGCGGUGCAUUAGCUAGUUGGUAAGGUAAUGGCUUACCAAGGCGAUGAUGCAUAGCCGAGUUGAGGAGGGUAAUCGGCCACAUUGGGACUGAGACACGGCCCAGACUCC
RNAcentral lists this ribosomal RNA (270 nucleotides) under uncultured Weissella sp. RNAcentral's name for it is "partial 16S ribosomal RNA". It matches the Rfam family "Bacterial small subunit ribosomal RNA", at positions 74 to 339 of the family's 1533-position model. Lineage: Bacteria; Bacillati; Bacillota; Bacilli; Lactobacillales; Lactobacillaceae. The record is from RNAcentral.